Long non-coding RNA from Passer domesticus (house sparrow), 363 nucleotides. RefSeq lists it as uncharacterized. The record is from RefSeq and is a predicted model, not a curated record. NCBI's taxonomy places the organism in Eukaryota, Metazoa, Chordata, Aves, Passeriformes, Passeridae. The transcript is spliced from 2 exons.
AGUCGGGUGUGUGCUGUGCGCUGCUGGCUGGUGUUACUAAUCGCAGAGCACAUCUUUCUAGUAACCCUCUGCAGGUCACUCCCGAUCGCCGUGGUAAUUAUGAUGCGUUUUCCAGCGUUUUAGGUCUUAAUUCCAGAAGUGGUUUGUUUAGGAAAUGUACCGUACCUUUGCAGAGACUUGAAAAUGCACAGCCUUGUGACAUGUGAUAGUGUGUGACAGCAGUGCUAGUAAAGGCAGUACCCCUGUUGUGAUGAGCUCUGUAUGUAGACUGCAGAACAGUUUGGUGUUCUUUGCUUAUUUCUACCAUGAGUCUUCCCUUUUGAUUGACAAGUGAAGAAUAAAGUUUUUGGAUUUCAGUAUGCA